UACAGGGGGUGCUAGCGUUGUUCGGAAUUACUGGGCGUAAAGGGCGCGUAGGCGGUUCAACAAGUCUGUUGUGAAAUCCCGGGGCUUAACUCCGGACGUGCAGUGGAAACUGUUGGACUUGAGUGCAGUAGAGGUUGGUGGAAUUCCCAGUGUAGAGGUGAAAUUCGUAGAUAUUGGGAGGAACACCGGUGGCGAAGGCGGCCAACUGGACUGCAACUGACGCUGAGGCGCGAAAGCGUGGGGAUCAAACAGG
Molecule: ribosomal RNA, 253 nt
Filed under: uncultured bacterium
Lineage: Bacteria
Description: partial 16S ribosomal RNA
Rfam family: Bacterial small subunit ribosomal RNA
Source: RNAcentral